GAAGGCUCUUUUUCGGUCAGAUGGCGCGCUGCGGUCCGCCCCCGUCAUUCUCCGGCCCACACACGCACACGCACACACACACGCACAAACGCACACGCACACACUCAAGGACCAAUACUCUGCGCCGGAAGAGGAUUUCUGCCAGUGAUCUCAGACCGGCUCCGGUGCGCGGAGGGGAUUCUACGACGCCGAUCCCGGCCGACCACGCUUCCGCUUCAAGGCGAGAACCCCGGCGUGGAAAGACGAAUAAAAUUCAAGGGCGUGUUUUUUUCUUCUUCUUCUGAUUGCAACAUCUGCCGCUGCUGCUUUUGAAUUGUUUCCACGUCGGAGCCGACUGCUACUCCAAGACUAGAAGAAGCGCAAGCAUGUCUCUUCCGCGCACACUCGGGGAGCUCCAGCUCUACCGGGUCCUGCACAGGGCCAACCUGCUGGCCUACUACGACACCUUCAUCCAGCAGGGCGGCGACGACGUGCAGCAGCUCUGCGAAGCGGCCGAGGACGAGUUCCUGGAGAUCAUGGCCCUGGUGGGCAUGGCCACCAAGCCGCUGCACGUGCGCAGGCUCCAGAAGGCCCUCCGAGACUGGGCCGCCAACCCCACGGUUUUCAGCCAGACCGGGUCCGGCGUGCCCUCGGUCGGGGGGAUCCCGUUGUUUAAAGUCGACGGCACAGGUCCGAGUGGGCCAAGGAGAUCUGUGAGCAACGGUCAGCCGGGGUCACCGUGUGAACGCGAGGAUAGGGCGUGCCUUACCCCCAUGCACAGCGGGAGCCCUCGGAGCCCCUGCUCUCAGGCGUCCCCUCAACCCCCGGACUCGCACUACCGCGAAAAACUGUCCCCCAUGGAACCGCACUGGCUCGGCCCAGAACCCAACGGCAGUUGCGCCUCGUCGGGAAUGGAGGAGGAGCCGCCCAGCCCCCCUCACCCAGCUGUACGUGUUCCCCCGGGGUCUCCGAGUUCCUCCACCAACGCUCUGUCGGCCUGGCCCGGGGGACAACUGGACGCCGAGACGGCUCAGUCCGUGGCGGACAGCGUGGAGAGACUCCUCCGGACCCUGCCUCGCUCCGACCCGGCAGAGAUGAAGAGUCUGCUGAGGAUAAACAAGAAGAUGGCCAAGACCGUGGGCCACAUCUUCGAAAUGAGCUCCCGGGACGUGAAAAAGGAAGAGGAGAUCCGCAAGUACAGUCUCAUCUACGGACGCUUCGACUCCAAGCGCAGGGAAGGGAAGCACCUCACGCAGCACGAGCUGAUCAUCAACGAGGCCGCGGCCCAGUUCUGUAUGCGGGACAACGCCCUCCUGCUGAGACGGGUGGAGCUCUUCUCGCUGGCUCGGCAGGUGGCCAGGAAAUGCGCCUACACGUCCACGGUGAAGCACGCGCGGCCAAACAUGGAGGACAACAGUCUGCUGCCUCAGAAGAGAGCGAGACUUGAGCUGACCGAGAACACGUCGUCACCCCUGGCAACGGAGGGCGUUGAGGUGUUGAAUGACGACAGCUUGUCGGCAGGAAGUCCGGACAGCGUGUCACAUGACGUGGCGUCACAAUGCAACCAGUCGCCCUCGCCGUGCCCCCCCGCCGACAGCACCAACCCCGCCACCUGGAGUCGCCAUCUCAUGCAGCAAACGCUCAUGGACGAAGGUCUGCGAUUGGCUCGCCUGGUGUCACAUGACCGGGCCGGCAAGAUCAAAUUAGGGUCAGAGGGAGCUCACGCCACAGGGUGGAUUUGUCGCAAUUAGUUUGUCGGCUGUUGGCGACCCUCGUGACGUCCCGCGCCGUAGUUUGAGCACCCAGUCAACUUGGAGCAUGACGUGAAAAGUCAGCGGCGCAGCUCCAUCACAUCGUGCCGGAGCAGCAGCCCGAACGUCACGAAAGACAAUUCCAACCCCAGAGGAAAGUAACGAGAACGGAACACCCCAACCCACAAAGGACUGCCAUCGACGGAGAUACCUUGUACAAUACAGACUUUUAUCCUGGCGAAUGUGGUUCGCACAUCGGCCUGGGUUCGAACCCUUGGCCCCGCGCUUGAGUGGGGUGUGUAAAUAUAACCCACCUGGGACGUUCGGAAGGAGAGGCGAGCGCGCUAACCACCGGGAGCGAGCAUUUACCAACGUAUGCAUGGCACGGCCACACUGGUGUGAAUGCUUGGUUUGUUUACAUGCGCCCUGUGAUUGGCCGGCAAAUAGUCCCGCCUCUGUAAGGGACUUACUCGCCAGCAGAGUAAUUUGGCAACGUCUGGCACUUAACGUUCAAAAAUAAUAUUCAAUGGAGGCAAGUCAAACACUGGCGCCAGGCGGAAAAACGGGUUUUCCCUUUAUACCGCCAACGAGCUCGUUAAAUGGAUUUCUGGCUAACCUGACAAUGAUUGACAGCUCACAGCAGCCGACCAAUCAGCUUUCAGAUGUGACGUAGGAGCCACAAACAAGGUUCGAUUCCCAGCCAGGACAUAACACACUGCAAAAACUGAAAUCUAAGUAAGAUGAAAUAUCUCAAAUAAGGGUGAUAUUUGCUUAUUUUCUGUCUGGUAAGAUAAUUUUUCUCACUAAGCAGAUUUUAUGUUAGAGUAUUUUACUUGUUUCAAGGGUUUUGCUCCUAAAGGAUCUCAGUAAGAUACUACAGCUUGUUUCUGGCAUUUUAUGACCUAUUUUGAGUAAUAUAUGCUCGAAACAAUUUUUGUCCAAGUGUCCAAAACACACCCAGCAAUGGUGCACAGGAAGGCGGGUAAGAAGGGGGGGAAAGGGCGGCCAAAAUAUUCAUAAGUCCCAAUUGUGUACAAAAUACCUCCCCGGGUUCCAGUCCCACGAAUCCCGCCGCCGGCCACACAAAUUUCCAAAACGCACCCAGCAAAGUCCCACGGGAAGUAGGGGGGAAAAAGGAGAAAAGUCAGCAAAAGUCCCCCAAAAUUUUCAAAAUACCUACUAAGGUUCGAGUCCCAACCGGGUUCGAGUUUGAGUUUGAGUGCACACUCCAACCCGGGUGGGAAUUUUGAACAUUUCACCGACUUUUCUCACUUUUCUCCCCACCUUCCCGUGGGACUUUGCUGGGCCCGUUUUGGACAUUCUGGGCAUCCCGGCCGGCGGCGGAACUUGUGGGACUCGAACCUGUGUAGGUAUUUUCAACAAUUUUGGGACUUUUCCUGACUUGCGCGGCCAUACAUAAGAUUUUAUACUUGUUUUAAGUGUUUAGGUCUUAAAUGAUCUCAGUAAGAUAUUACAGCUUGUAGCUGAGAUUUGAUGACCUAUAUUGAGUAAAACAUGCUUGAAACUAGAAUAUCAACUGUUGCAAAGCUGAGUCAUCAACACUCACAAGUAUAAAACUACUUUUCAAAGUAAGAAUUUCUUAUUUCAAAAAUGCAAAACAAAAUCAAGACUUUUACACAAUUGUUUCUCAUAUUAAAACAGAUGACAGCCAAAUAGACUUUGCCGUUUUAUUUUCAAUGCAAUAAUAGAAAAUACGUACUCGCAUAGUUGUACACUUGUUAUGAGUGAGAAUAUACUUAUUUUAAGGUAUUUUUGGGGUUUUGAAGUUAGCUAAUUUUACUUGUUUUGGAAAGUCUUGACAAGCCAAAUUUUCUUGUUCUAUUGGCAGAUAAUUUUGCUUAGAUCAAGUAAAAUACCCCUCAUUUUUGUAUUUUUUUUUCUUGUUUUUGAACGCUGACUUUUUGCAGUGCAGGUAAACUAAAUCCCAAUGCAAUCCUGAAAAAAAAGAAAAGAAAAAGUAAGAAGGUAUUUAUUUUGUUCUGUUAAUUUUGUCGUUUUGUACUAAAAAAUAAUGAAUCACUUAACAUGCAUACGAGCCCUUAAAAAACACGCCCCCUGCAAGCCCCGCCCCCUGCACGCAAGCCAGUUUUGUAAAUCCAAAUCUGAUCCAAGCGCAUGACUGAAUACGUUGUGACUACGUUCAAUAAAAGUGAACUCCUUUUGCUGGCUUGUGAA
This is an RNA transcript of Nerophis ophidion (straightnose pipefish), 3926 nucleotides long. It is a transcript of the gene named NGFI-A binding protein 2 (EGR1 binding protein 2), with no coding region annotated. Lineage: Eukaryota; Metazoa; Chordata; Actinopteri; Syngnathiformes; Syngnathidae. The transcript has 8 exons. The record is from RefSeq and is a predicted model, not a curated record.